Molecule: non-coding RNA, 502 nt
Organism: Pelobates cultripes (western spadefoot toad)
Lineage: Eukaryota; Metazoa; Chordata; Amphibia; Anura; Pelobatidae
Source: the annotation of a GenBank genome assembly
GUCUAUACGAAUUUAAGGGCAGUGUGGAGGUCUCAGCGGUGUUUGUCUAGCCGAGUGUCCAAUUUGGGUUCCAGACACUCGAUGGCAAAACACCGCUGUUUGGGAGUUUAAAAUGGCCGCCGCCACGUGUUCGUCUCCCGAAUGGCGGCCACCCAGAGAACAAAGAACCCACUACAUGAAUUGCCAAACCCGUCAGCGUUUCCAUUUUGUUUGCCCGGGCGGUACUGAAUGUUAAAGUCAAAGGGCUGCAGCGCCAAAACUCCAGCGCAGCAGCCUGGCAUUGUCCCAGCCACCCGGUUCAGCUAUACUAACGGGUUGUGAUCCGUGAGCAAAGAAAAGGGCUGUCCAUACAAAUACGGCUGCAACUUCUUUAGGGCCUACACUACAACCAGGCAUUCCUUCUCGAUAGUGGCAUAGCUUACUUCUCUGGGUAACAACUUGCGACAGAUGUAAGCCACGGGAUGUUCUCCGCCAUCGGCCCCGACUUGGCUCAGCACUGCCC